Molecule: ribosomal RNA, 1149 nt
Filed under: Terriera minor
Lineage: Eukaryota; Fungi; Ascomycota; Leotiomycetes; Rhytismatales; Rhytismataceae
Description: eukaryotic LSU rRNA
Rfam family: Eukaryotic large subunit ribosomal RNA
Source: RNAcentral
CAGGGAUUGCCUCAGUAACGGCGAGUGAAGCGGCAAUAGCUCAAAUUUGAAAGCUGGCGCAAGCCCGCGUUGUAAUUUGUAGAGGAUGCUUCGGGUGUGGCUCUAGUCUAAGUUCCUUGGAACAGGACGUCAUAGAGGGUGAGAAUCCCGUAUAUGGCUGGCAGCCUACGCCUAUGUGAAGCUCCUUCGACGAGUCGAGUUGUUUGGGAAUGCAGCUCAAAAUGGGUGGUGUACUCCAUCUAAAGCUAAAUAUUGGCCAAAGACCGAUAGCGCACAAGUAGAGUGAUCGAAAGAUGAAAAGCACUUUGGAAAGAGAGUUAAACAGUACGUGAAAUUGUUGAAAGGGAAGCGCUUGCAAUCAGACUUGCGCGGCGUCGAUCAGCUUGGGUUCUCCCUUGCGCACUCGGCGCCGUUCAGGCCAGCAUCAGUUCUGGCGGUUGGAUAAAGGCCCAGGGAACGUGAGUGGCUUCGGCCACUGUUAUAGCCCUGGGUGCAAUGCAGCCUGCUGGGACUGAGGACCGCGCUUCGGCUAGGAUGCUGGCGUAAUGGUUGUAAGCGACCCGUCUUGAAACACGGACCAAGGAGUUGAUGUGUAAUGCGAGUGUUUGGGUGUUAAACCCAUACGCGUAAUGAAAGUGAACGGAGGUGAGAGUCCUUUAGGAUGCAUCAUCGACCGAUCCUGAUGUCUUCGGAUGGAUUUGAGUAAGAGCAUUACGCAUCUGACCCGAAAGAUGGUGAACUAUGCCUGAAUAGGGUGAAGCCAGAGGAAACUCUGGUGGAGGCUCGCAGAGGUUCUGACGUGCAAAUCGAUCUUCAAAUUUGGGUAUAGGGGCGAAAGACUAAUCGAACCAUUUGGGCAGCUACUUGGUGGUUGAGAGGUAUGCGAACAAUACGCAUAUCUAGUUCCCUCACGGGAGCUAUAUUGCAAAAUUGCGGGGACCCUCUUAUAGCCUGAACUACUGCCGCGGCGUCGAAAGACGCGGCGGCUCCAGCGAUUGCUGGGCAUAGUAAUAACGUUCAGGAUUGAGCAACCCGCAGCCUAGCCCUMCGGCGCGCGAGCGCUAUGGGUGAGGUUCAUCGACUAGAUGGCAGUAGGUAAAAGCCUGGCUUUGCUUAAGGUAUAGUCAGACCGCGGCGGAGACGCUGCGG